UCCCUAUGGGGUGCAGCAGGCGCGAAACCUCCACAAUGCGCGAAAGCGUGAUGGGGUUAGCCCGAGUGCUAUCCGAAAAGGAUGGCUUUUCCUUGGUGUAAAAACCCAUGGGAAUAAAGGGGGGGCAAGACUGGUGUCAGCCGCCGCGGUAAUACCAGCUCCCUGAGUGGUAAGGACGAUUAUUUGGCUUAAAGCGUCCGUAGCCGGCUUAGUGAGUCUUUUGUUAAAUCCAAUGAUUUAAUCAUUGAACUGCAAGAGAUACUGCUAUGCUAGAGGACGGGAGAGGUCGACGGUAGUCCAGGGGUAGGGGUGAAAUCCUAUAAUCCCGGGAGGACCACCAGUGGCGAAGGCUGUCGGCUAGAACGCGCUCGACGGUGAGGGAUGAAAGCUGGGGGAGCGAACCGGAUUAGAUACCCGGGUAGUCCCAGCUGUAAACGAUGCAGGCUAGGUGUUGGCGCGGCUACGUGCCGCUCCAGUGCCGCAGGGAAGCCGUUAAGCCUGCCGCCUGGGAAGUACGGCCGCAAGGCUGAAACUUAAAGGAAUUGGCGGGGGAGCACCACAAGGUGUGAAGCUUGCGGUUUAAUUGGAUUA
This 591-nucleotide ribosomal RNA is filed under the name uncultured archaeon. RNAcentral describes it as "bacterial SSU rRNA". It matches the Rfam family "Archaeal small subunit ribosomal RNA", at positions 319 to 913 of the family's 1478-position model. The record is from RNAcentral.